Molecule: ribosomal RNA, 995 nt
Filed under: uncultured archaeon
Lineage: Archaea
Description: bacterial SSU rRNA
Rfam family: Archaeal small subunit ribosomal RNA
Source: RNAcentral
UUCCGGUUGAUCCCGCCGGAGGUUACUGCUAUUGGUGUUCGACUAAGCCAUGCAAGUCAUAUGUUCCUCGUGAACAUGGCAUACUGCUCAGUAACACGUGGAUAACCUGCCCUAGGGAAGGGGAUAACCCCGGGAAACUGGGGAUAAUACCCUAUAGGUUACAGAUGCUGGAAUGCCCUGUAACCCAAAGUUCCGACGCCCUAGGAUGGAUCUGCGGCCGAUUAGGUUGUUGUUGGGGUAAUGGCCCAACAAGCCCGUAAUCGGUACGGGUUGUGGGAGCAAGAGCCCGGAGUUGGAUUCUGAGACACGAAUCCAGGCCCUACGGGGCGCAGCAGGCGCGAAAACUUUACAAUGCGGGAAACCGUGAUAAGGGAACACCGAGUGCCAGCAUCAUAUGCUGGCUGUCCAGAUGUGUAAACUACAUCUGUUAGCAAGGGCCGGGCAAGACCGGUGCCAGCCGCCGCGGUAACACCGGCGGCCCGAGUGGUGACCGUCAUUAUUGGGUCUAAAGGGUCCGUAGCCGGUUUGGUCAGUCCUCCGGGAAAUCUGAUAGCUUAACUGUUAGGCUUUCGGGGGAUACUGCCAGGCUUGGAACCGGGAGAGGUAAGAGGUACUACAGGGGUAGGAGUGAAAUCUUGUAAUCCCUGUGAGACCACCUGUGGCGAAGGCGUCUUACCAGAACGGGUUCGACGGUGAGGGACGAAAGCUGGGGGCACGAACCGGAUUAGAUACCCGGGUAGUCCCAGCCGUAAACUAUGCUCGCUAGGUGUCAGGCAUGGCGCGACCGUGUCUGGUGCCGCAGGGAAGCCGUGAAGCGAGCCACCUGGGAAGUACGGCCGCAAGGCUGAAACUUAAAGGAAUUGGCGGGGGAGCACAACAACGGGUGGAGCCUGCGGUUUAAUUGGACUCAACGCCGGACAACUCACCGGGGACGACAGCAAUAUGUAGGCCAGGCUGAAGACCUUGCCUGAAUCGCUGAGAGGAGGUGCAUGGCC